GGAAAAAAAGUUUUGGGGAUUUUACUCAAAUAUAAAGAUCUGAAAUAUUUGCAGACUGGUGUGAGCACUGAGGAUGAGGAGCCCAGAGCUGCAUCCUAGAAGUGGUCCCAUGGAUGAGUCCCUCUAUCGCUCCACCUGCCCUUAUUGCCUCAGAUUGUGAAGCACAGCACAGCAACAAGCUCUGGGACGAAGGCACACUCCCCUCUGGUGAAUUCAUCAGAAUAAAGCUGCAGAAUGGGAACCGCUGUGUUGAGUCGGUCGUAGGAUGUGGUGUUCAGCGCCUGUAAAAACAUGCUUGUAGUUUGAAUAAAGCUUUGUUUCAUGUGUUGUUGACUUUUA
Pimephales promelas (fathead minnow) is the source of this 339-nucleotide long non-coding RNA. RefSeq lists it as uncharacterized. NCBI's taxonomy places the organism in Eukaryota, Metazoa, Chordata, Actinopteri, Cypriniformes, Leuciscidae. The record is from RefSeq and is a predicted model, not a curated record.